Molecule: ribosomal RNA, 1440 nt
Filed under: Escherichia coli
Lineage: Bacteria; Pseudomonadati; Pseudomonadota; Gammaproteobacteria; Enterobacterales; Enterobacteriaceae
Description: bacterial SSU rRNA
Rfam family: Bacterial small subunit ribosomal RNA
Source: RNAcentral
GAGUAAUGUCUGGGAAACUGCCUGAUGGAGGGGGAUAACUACUGGAAACGGUAGCUAAUACCGCAUAACGUCGCAAGACCAAAGAGGGGGACCUUCGGGCCUCUUGCCAUCGGAUGUGCCCAGAUGGGAUUAGCUUGUUGGUGGGGUAACGGCUCACCAAGGCGACGAUCCCUAGCUGGUCUGAGAGGAUGACCAGCCACACUGGAACUGAGACACGGUCCAGACUCCUACGGGAGGCAGCAGUGGGGAAUAUUGCACAAUGGGCGCAAGCCUGAUGCAGCCAUGCCGCGUGUAUGAAGAAGGCCUUCGGGUUGUAAAGUACUUUCAGCGGGGAGGAAGGGAGUAAAGUUAAUACCUUUGCUCAUUGACGUUACCCGCAGAAGAAGCACCGGCUAACUCCGUGCCAGCAGCCGCGGUAAUACGGAGGGUGCAAGCGUUAAUCGGAAUUACUGGGCGUAAAGCGCACGCAGGCGGUUUGUUAAGUCAGAUGUGAAAUCCCCGGGCUCAACCUGGGAACUGCAUCUGAUACUGGCAAGCUUGAGUCUCGUAGAGGGGGGUAGAAUUCCAGGUGUAGCGGUGAAAUGCGUAGAGAUCUGGAGGAAUACCGGUGGCGAAGGCGGCCCCCUGGACGAAGACUGACGCUCAGGUGCGAAAGCGUGGGGAGCAAACAGGAUUAGAUACCCUGGUAGUCCACGCCGUAAACGAUGUCGACUUGGAGGUUGUGCCCUUGAGGCGUGGCUUCCGGAGCUAACGCGUUAAGUCGACCGCCUGGGGAGUACGGCCGCAAGGUUAAAACUCAAAUGAAUUGACGGGGGCCCGCACAAGCGGUGGAGCAUGUGGUUUAAUUCGAUGCAACGCGAAGAACCUUACCUGGUCUUGACAUCCACAGAACUUUCCAGAGAUGGAUUGGUGCCUUCGGGAACUGUGAGACAGGUGCUGCAUGGCUGUCGUCAGCUCGUGUUGUGAAAUGUUGGGUUAAGUCCCGCAACGAGCGCAACCCUUAUCCUUUGUUGCCAGCGGUCCGGCCGGGAACUCAAAGGAGACUGCCAGUGAUAAACUGGAGGAAGGUGGGGAUGACGUCAAGUCAUCAUGGCCCUUACGACCAGGGCUACACACGUGCUACAAUGGCGCAUACAAAGAGAAGCGACCUCGCGAGAGCAAGCGGACCUCAUAAAGUGCGUCGUAGUCCGGAUUGGAGUCUGCAACUCGACUCCAUGAAGUCGGAAUCGCUAGUAAUCGUGGAUCAGAAUGCCACGGUGAAUACGUUCCCGGGCCUUGUACACACCGCCCGUCACACCAUGGGAGUGGGUUGCAAAAGAAGUAGGUAGCUUAACCUUCGGGAGGGCGCUUACCACUUUGUGAUUCAUGACUGGGGUGAAGUCGUAACAAGGUAACCGUAGGGGAACCUGCGGUUGGAUCACCUCCUUACCUUAAAGAAGC